GGAGAUUCUCGAGUAUUGCGAGAUGCUUUGUCUCGUCAAAAUUGUCUCCAUAUACCAAAUGGUAAAUAUUUUCUUGUGGAUGCGGGGUAUACAAAUGGCCCUGGAUUUUUAGCACCUUAUCGAGGGACUAGAUAUCAUCUUAAUGAGUGGAUCGGAAACACUCCUCAAAACUAUAAGGAGUUAUUUAAUCUUCGUCAUGCAAGUGCAAGGAAUGUUAUUGAAAGGUCAUUUGGGGUAUUGAAGAAAAGAUGGAGUAUAUUAAGAACUCAUUCUUUUUUUGAUAUAAAAACACAAAUAAGAAUUAUUAAUGCUUGUUUCAUGCUACAUAAUUUCAUAAGAGAUGAACAACAAAGUGAUCCAAUUUUGGAAGCCCAAGACUUGGAACUUUUAUCUGUUGUUGACAAUGAGUUAAUCAAUCAACAAAUGGAAAGAGUCACAAAUAAUAUUGGAGAUGAAGUCACAACUAUCCAAGCAACUGAGGAAUGGACAAGAUUUCGUGAUACUUUAGCAAUGAAUAUGUUUGCCACCUAUCAAAUAAGAAGAAACUUUGAUUAGGGAGAUGUUUUUAGUGGAUUUGGAUUUUGUUUCUUAUGUGUAAUUGACUCUAUACUCAUGUAUGUGUGAUACUUUGGAUUUUUGUAUUUCAUAAUACUUUGGAUUUUGUUUU
Long non-coding RNA from Glycine soja, 667 nucleotides. RefSeq lists it as uncharacterized. The transcript has 2 exons. The record is from RefSeq and is a predicted model, not a curated record. NCBI's taxonomy places the organism in Eukaryota, Viridiplantae, Streptophyta, Magnoliopsida, Fabales, Fabaceae.